Molecule: non-coding RNA, 1967 nt
Organism: Gasterosteus aculeatus aculeatus (three-spined stickleback)
Lineage: Eukaryota; Metazoa; Chordata; Actinopteri; Perciformes; Gasterosteidae
Source: RefSeq, a predicted model, not a curated record
ACAUUACACUUUUUUUGUUGCCACAUUGGGAUUUAACAGAUGUCCCGUCUGCAUCUUGUUAUCCAUGACAUUCACCUGUUGUUGGGGGACAAACUCCUUAGCAAGAGCGAAUGUUUGAAGAGUCACGGAACGCAGGCAGAUGUUUUCCUCUGGCGGAGGAGGGAGUACACUGGACACGUUACAUCUUGGGUGGACUUUUGACUCAUAUCACCAAUUCCUCAGAGGUUUGCGUCACCUGUCUGACUCGCCCAAUCGCCGCUCUAUAUGAUGACUGCUGUCUGGCCAUGUAGGAUCAACAGACCCGAUCCCACCGGAUAGCUCAUCGGUUGUUCGUGUCAGGCAAUUGCACACCGCCUCCGUUUACCAAUCGUGUGGUUUUAGCGUACAAAGAUUGUUGAGGUGACAACAUUGAACAAUGCCGAGAUGAUCGAUCGCUGCCCCUCCUGCGAAGGAAAAGAUUAGCAAGAAUAAAACUCUGAGAAGCAACCUUUUCUCUCAUGAGUCUUUCCACCAGCAAGGGAAAGUUUGGGGCCCGUGAUAUGUGCUUUGGGGUUAGAGUUGAGAUGGGGGUGUCGGUCAUUCGGUCCCACUAGAACAGUGCUCAGAGCGCCGGGGAGAUAAUCAGUGCCAACAGUCAGAGGCAAUAUGCUCAGGAUUGGAUUUUUAAAGCCUGUUAAAAUAUUACUGAGGGGAUUAAUAUUCAAAUAUGUGCAUGUCUUUCAGCUGUCUGUCUCCCUUUCUCCCUAUUCUCUUCAUGAUUUGUUCCCUUCAGUAUUCACACGCGGCAAAAUUUCAACAUUAUGUUGAUGAAAGGUCUUUUUUAAGUUUAUUGUGCCACUUGACUUAACUUUUGACUCACACAUUCUCCACUGUCACUAAUAGAAAACGGGCCAUUGGAGAAUCAGUACUGGGCUUUUUGAAUAAUCAGUUUGUUUAAUAAUUCAUUUCAUAUAUAAUGACACACCAAGAAUAAAUCUCUCUCUUUUGUGCACACACAUGCAUAACUUGAGCUCUAGUUUUUCUCUCUUCUGUUCUGUGUAAACAAGUAAGAGAGAAGCAGGAACCUAUUUAUAGCCACAUUACUCAUGUUAUAUUUCUUUUCCGCUGUGGAUGGUUUGUGUGCAUAUUUUUUUUUUAAAGGCAUUCACUUCAAGAUUUAAAUAACUCUACUGGAUUAUUUGGCGGAAAAACAAAACGAGCAGAGUGGUAAUGGGUGGAAUCAUCUCAGCUUAAUCCGUCAGUGGUACGUGGACCACAUAUUGCGUUUUGUUUUGAGACUGUGGCAGCGUCACACAAUCCAAACCCAGCGCAGGCAGUGUGACCAGCACAUACUGAGCAUCAGCCCUCAGGGAUAAUGACAUAUAGUCCCCAAGAGGCACGUUGCUGCCGGAGGGCCGUCGCUCCCAGGGGGCCUCUGCUCAUGUCUUCCUCAGUUAACAGGGACAGGAACCCGGCUAUCGAGCUCCCUUUUCUUUUUUGCUGCCAGAGAUUACGCCCUUUUAAACAAAUUUAGAGGUUGUUAGAGAUUUCGGGAGGUGAUCUGAGGGAAGGCUAAAAAAGAAAAUGGAGGACGACAUGAAGUGCAAUACGAAGGUACAUGUGACGGCUGUAUUUGGUUCGACAGCUCUGAAGAAUAUGCUCUGGAAUGAAAGCGAAAUAAAUUUCAGGUCUCUGCUGAAAAUGCAUCACGUGACUUAAUAAUAAUAAUUCCAAGAUGAACAUGAAAUCUGUCACCAGUCCAUGUGUUAUCAUUGUUAUUUCACCUUGACAUAAAUGCAUUAUUUCCUGCCCGGCACACUCGGCCAUGUGUGCUAACUGUACAGUAGAUCUGUAGGCAGAUGUGUCUACAUCCCGGUGCUGCGCUGUUUCAUUAAGCUCUGAUUAUGGGACCUGAUGCAGAGUGACAGUGUGCAGAUUGAGUUGCCCAGCCACUCUAAUUCUCUCUAUUAAUAAAACCCUUCCACACU